RNAcentral lists this ribosomal RNA (253 nucleotides) under uncultured bacterium. Its description in RNAcentral is "partial 16S ribosomal RNA". It matches the Rfam family "Bacterial small subunit ribosomal RNA", at positions 524 to 776 of the family's 1533-position model. The record is from RNAcentral.
UACGUAGGGGGCAAGCGUUGUCCGGAUUUAUUGGGCGUAAAGAGCGUGUAGGCGGCUUUACAGGUCCGUUGUGAAAUCCCGGAGCUCAACUUCGGAACUGCCUUUGAUACAGCACGUCUUGAGUCCGAUAGAGGUGGGUGGAAUUCCUAGUGUAGAGGUGAAAUUCGUAGAUAUUAGGAAGAACACCGGUGGCGAAGGCGGCCCACUGGAUCGGUACUGACGCUGAGGUGCGAAAGCGUGGGGAGCAAACAGG